This 497-nucleotide ribosomal RNA is filed under the name uncultured bacterium. RNAcentral's name for it is "partial 16S ribosomal RNA". It matches the Rfam family "Bacterial small subunit ribosomal RNA", at positions 28 to 507 of the family's 1533-position model. The record is from RNAcentral.
GAUGAACGCUGGCGGCGUGCCUAAUACAUGCAAGUCGAGCGAACAGACGAGGAGCUUGCGCCUCUGACGUUAGCGGCGGACGGGUGAGUAACACGUGGAUAACCUACCUAUAAGACUGGGAUAACUUCGGGAAACCGGAGCUAAUACCGGAUAAUAUAUUGAACCGCAUGGGUCAAUAGUGAAAGACGGUUUUGCUGUCACUUAUAGAUGGAUCCGCGCCGUAUUAGCUAGUUGGUAAGGUAACGGCUUACCAAGGCAACGAUGCGUAGCCGACCUGAGCGGGUGGUCGGCCACACUGGAACUGAGACACGGUCCAGACUCCUACGGGAGGCAGCAGUAGGGAAUCUUCCGCAAUGGGCGAAAGCCUUACGGAGCGACGCCGCGUGAGUGAUGAAGGUGUUGGGAUCGUAAAACUCUGUUAUUAGGGGAGAACAAAUGUGUAAGUAACUAUGCACGUCUUGACGGUACCUAAUCAGAAAGCCACGGCUAACUACGUG